This is a long non-coding RNA of Schistocerca gregaria, 343 nucleotides long. RefSeq lists it as uncharacterized. The record is from RefSeq and is a predicted model, not a curated record. NCBI's taxonomy places the organism in Eukaryota, Metazoa, Arthropoda, Insecta, Orthoptera, Acrididae. The transcript is spliced from 4 exons.
CCUGUUCAGCGGUGUUGGAGGGGCACCGUGCAUGCUGUGCGCUUACCAAGCAACGAUGUUCGUCUGGAUACCACAUAUUUACCUUCGCCGAAGCUGAAGAAGAUACGAAUCGACAGCUAUUGUGAUAUUGCGAUGGACUCUUUUACAACCAGGUUUUCCUCGCGACAGUCUCAUGCAGCAUGAGAUAUUGAGAUAUCACGGUAGAACAACAAAGUAAAUUACAAUCUGUUCACCGAAAGGGCUGAUGUCAAAUCAGAACCAAAUAACUGGCUGAGAAUGGGUUGCAGCGCUAGGACCACGUGUCGCGCAUUAUGUAUCGCUUUGCUGCGGCAGCUGGAGGAGG